Molecule: ribosomal RNA, 372 nt
Filed under: Bacillus cereus
Lineage: Bacteria; Bacillati; Bacillota; Bacilli; Caryophanales; Bacillaceae
Description: bacterial SSU rRNA
Rfam family: Bacterial small subunit ribosomal RNA
Source: RNAcentral
AGCGGCGGACGGGGUGAGUAACACGUGGGUAACCUGCCCAUAAGACUGGGAUAACUCCGGGAAACCGGGGCUAAUACCGGAUAACAUUUUGAACCGCAUGGUUCGAAAUUGAAAGGCGGCUUCGGCUGUCACUUAUGGAUGGACCCGCGUCGCAUUAGCUAGUUGGUGAGGUAACGGCUCACCAAGGCAACGAUGCGUAGCCGACCUGAGAGGGUGAUCGGCCACACUGGGACUGAGACACGGCCCAGACUCCUACGGGAGGCAGCAGUAGGGAAUCUUCCGCAAUGGACGAAAGUCUGACGGAGCAACGCCGCGUGAGUGAUGAAGGCUUUCGGGUCGUAAAACUCUGUUGUUAGGGAAGAACAAGUGCUA